UACAGAGGUGGCAAGCGUUGUUCGGAAUUACUGGGCGUAAAGGGCGCGUAGGCGGCCUGCUCAGUCGGACGUGAAAGCCCCAGGCUUAACCUGGGAACUGCGUCCGAUACUGGCAGGCUUGGAUUCGGGAGAGGGAUGUGGAAUUCCAGGUGUAGCGGUGAAAUGCGUAGAUAUCUGGAGGAACACCGGUGGCGAAGGCGGCAUCCUGGACCGAGAUCGACGCUGAGGCGCGAAAGCUAGGGGAGCAAACGGG
This 253-nucleotide ribosomal RNA is filed under the name uncultured bacterium. RNAcentral's name for it is "partial 16S ribosomal RNA". It matches the Rfam family "Bacterial small subunit ribosomal RNA", at positions 524 to 776 of the family's 1533-position model. The record is from RNAcentral.